AAGGCAUGGUGAGGGUACUUUCUAAGCAUCUCCUUGAAUUUCUCUCAACUCUCAUAAAUAGAUUCUCCUUUUAUCUGAGUAAAAGAAGUAAUAUCAUUUUUAAGUUU
Dendrobium catenatum is the source of this 107-nucleotide small nucleolar RNA. NCBI's taxonomy places the organism in Eukaryota, Viridiplantae, Streptophyta, Magnoliopsida, Asparagales, Orchidaceae. The record is from RefSeq and is a predicted model, not a curated record.